ACACUAACCCGUUCUGACAUGCAGACAUGCACACUGUGACGCAGUCACGCAGCAGGACGUUACGUACACAUGGGGACACACCCGUCUACAGUCCACUAAGGAAAAUAAAAGAAUGAGACGUGUGAGCUGAGGGCUGAAGUUAUUCUCCACCAAUCUGGAACAGAGUUCCAUUACAGAGACACACUGCAGCAGACAUUACGGAUCCAUAACCAGCUUCAAGACUUCUAAAGGAUGAAGAACCUUAAACUUCUCAUCCUCUCUCUCUCCAUCUGCCUGUUGCUGGGCAACCUGGGGGUGAGUGGCUACAGUAAUGUCGAACCCUGCCAACGGUCCCGAUGCAAUAACUGCCAUGAGAAGUUCCUAUACCGGCAUGUGCGUCCAAAUACCCCGCUAACGACGGACCGCAACGCGUGGGAGAAGUAUCUACGUGAAAAGAAUGACUGCUCAAGACCCACGCAGUCCUUCCUCCAUCCCAAAGACCGCGAGAGGGUGGACGCGGUCUGCUCCAGCUCUGGGGGAAAGAAGUACCAGGGGAACCUGUGCAUCAGCCAAAGCCCGUUCACAUUUCUAACAGUGAGGAGUGAGACUGGGACCUGCGGUGUGUCCAGCGUGCGGGAAGAGACCAAGCAUUUGAUCCUGGCAUGUGAGGUGCUGGAGAACAGGUGUGUGCCGGUCCACUUCGAGGGGAACCGCGAGGGGAACAAGCCUGACAAUAACGCUGCAGGAUGUGGCAGCACGGAGAAAGGGAAGGGUUCAAGCUUCAAAGUAUCAGGAAUGUGGCUGGCAUCUUCAUUGAUACUCGUGUUUCUCUCACAACUCCUUUUCUGAAUGUGGCUGGCAUCUUCAUUGAUACUCGUGUUUCUCUCACAACUCCUUUUCUGAAUGUGGCUGGCAUCUUCAUUGAUACUCGUGCUUCUCUCACAACUCCUUUUCUGAAUGUGGCUGGCAUCUUCAUUGAUACUCGUGUUUCUCUCACAACUCCUUUUCUGAAUGUGGCUGGCAUCUUCAUUGAUACUCGUGUUUCUCUCACAACUCCUUUUCUGAAUGUGGCUGGCAUCUUCAUUGAUACUCAUGUUUCUCUCACAACUCCUUUUCUGAAUGUGGCUGGCAUCUUCAUUGAUACUCGUGUUUCUCUCACAACUCCUUUUCUGAAUGUGGCUGGCAUCUUCAUUGAUACUCGUGUUUCUCUCACAACUCCUUUUCUGAAUGUGGCUGGCAUCUUCAUUGAUACUCAUGUUUCUCUCACAACUCCUUUUCUGAACAGUUAAUGGGGGGGGUCAGAUAGUCAAACAAUACAUCAAAAGGAAGUUUGUUUUAAAGUGUUUGUCCUACACUCUAAAAAGAAAAGGUUCCUGGAGUAUCCUUUAGGGGUUCUUCAAAUGUAAUGUGUGGGUGAACCGCUAUGAGUUCUUCAAAGCACCCCUUUUAAUGGAUCCUCAGAGAACCUUUUGAAGAACUUUUGGGGUACAUUUUUUGAACGACCCCUCUCCCCUAUUAUUAAUAAAGGUAAUACGCAUAACAAAAACAACAAUAACACAAUAUUUUAUUGUUCUCAGUGUUUAUUAUGAUUGUAGUGGCAAAAGCAGAAUAAUAAAAUCUAAAUAUGAGGUAAACUCCCAGCAGAGCCCCAAGUCCAGUGGAAGUCCAAUGGAAGUAUAUCCUCUGGCGUGUUGAUGUUAUUGUGUUGAUGUUAUUGUGUUGAUGUUAUUGUGUUGAUGUUAUUGUGUUGAUGUUAUUGUGUUGAUGUUCUUGUGUUGAUGUUAUUGUGUUGAUGUUAUUGUGUUGAUGUUCUUGUGUUGAUGUUAUUGUGUUGAUGUUCUUGUGUUGAUGUUAUUGUGUUGAUGUUAUUGUGUUGAUGUUCUCCGUAUCCAUAGCCAGAAUGAGGCGUAUUUCCGUCUGUAAUAAUGCCCUUUUGUGGGGAAAACUCAUUCUGAUUGGCUGGGCCUGACUCCCCAGUAGGUGGGCCUGACUCCCCAGUAGGAGGGCCUAUGCCCUCCCAGGCCCACCCAUGUCUACUCCCCUGCCCAGUCAUGUGAAAUCCAUAGAUUAGGGCCUAAUUUGUUUAUUUAAAUGGACUGAUUUCCUUAAUUAACUGUAACUCAGCAAAAUAUUUGAAAUCGUUGCAUGUUGCGUUUAUAUUUUUGUUCCGUAUACUUCCAUAUAUACUUCCAUUCAUUGGUGAGUAGCCCAAACUGUUCUGAAGCUUCAGACAGAAGUUGGCAGAUUGGUGAUACUGACUUGCGGGGGUCGUAGAAAACUGAGAACACCAUCAUGUUGGUGAGAGUCUCAUCUUUCCAUAGAUGGGUCGUAUUAGUUUGUUGGCCAAACCGUUCGGACGCUACAGACGUUUUUGUGAGAAGAACGAUUUCCGCCAUGUCUCAUGGUCUGACAAACAGUAGCUUGGUCACCUUCCACCACAGAUGCGGAAGGACGCCGUUGGAAGGACGCCGUUGGCGGAUGAGGUGACUUGAGACGCAGCCCAUCCAAAAGGCUACAUAUCUCUAGCUUAAAGCUACAAUAUGUCACUUUUUGGGCAACCCAACCAAAUUCACAUAGAAAUAUGAGUUAUAGAUCUUAUAUAGAUCAAUAACUAUAUAGAUCUCUAUAGAUCAAGUCUAUAAUAAAAAAGAAGCGGUAGAUCUGUUCUAUGUGUGUCACGUUCUGACCAUCGUUCGUAUGUGUUUUCCUUGUUUUAGUGUUGGUCAGGACGUGAGCUGGGUGGGCAUUCUAUGUUGUGUGUCUGGUUUGUCUAUUUCUAUGUUUGGCCUGAUAUGGUUCUCAAUCAGAGGCAGGUGUUAGUCAUUGUCUCUGAUUGGGAACCAUAUUUAGGUAGCCUGUUUUGUGUUGGGUUUUGUGGGUGAUUGUCCUUAGUGUCUUGAUGUCCUUGUUCUGUGUGUAUGUGCACCAGUAUUAGGCUGUUUCGGUUUUCGUUACGUUCUUGUUUUGUAGUGUUUGUAUUGAUUCAUGUUUACGUUUGUUUAUUAAAUUAUGGAUCGCAAUCUACACGCUGCGUUUUGGUCCGACUCUCCUUCACCACAAGAGAACCGUUACAAUGUGUGCUAUUCUUUUACUUUCAGUUUUGUACACAAGCAAUAUUUUUGGUUAUUGAAAAAAUAUUUCACAGCAGUUUAGGUGGUACUAUGAUUCUCUACACAACGACUGCUUGUUUUGUCAUAAAAUUCUAAUAGUUUACCUAAUUUCAGUUUAUCAACCAGGAAAUGGCAGAGUGAUUUCUGAAUAGUGCAUCUUUAAACAGAGGGAUUUUUAUGGGGAUUUUUUAAAUUAUUCUAAUUAGAUUUCAGCGGGGGGGCGCAGACAUCAACUCUAGGGGGUGUAGAGUGCCAUGUAUUCAGGUUUGGUCCUGGGCUAUAACGUUUCACUCACAACAUUUAAAACUGCCAUCUAUUCAGGUCUGGUCCUGGGCUAUAACGUUUCACUCACAACAUUUAAAACUGCCAUCUAUUCAGGUCUGGUCCUGGGCUAUAACGUUUCACUCACAACAUUUAAAACUGCCAUCUAUUCAGGUCUGGUCCUGGGCUAUAACGUUUCACUCACAACAUUUAAAACUGCCAUCUAUUCAGGUCUGGUCCUGGGCUAUAACGUUUCACUCACAACAUUUAAAACUGCCAUCUAUUCAGGUUUGGUCCUGGGCUAUAACGUUUCACUCACAACAUUUAAAACUGCCAUGUAUUCAGGUUUGGUCCUGGGCUAUAACGUUUCACUCACAACAUUUAAAACUGCCAUGUAUUCAGGUUUGGUCCUGGGCUAUAACGUUUCACUCACAACAUUUAAAACUGCCAUGUAUUCAGGUUUGGUCCUGGGCUAUAACGUUUCACUCACAACAUUUAAAACUGCCAUGUAUUCAGGUUUGGUCCUGGGCUAUAACGUUUCACUCACAACAUUUAAAACUGCCAUGUAUUCAGGUUUGGUCCUGGGCUAUAACGUUUCACUCACAACAUUUAAAACUGCCAUGUAUUCAGGUUUGGUCCUGGGCUAUAACGUUUCACUCACAACAUUUAAAAGACUGCCAUGUAUUCAGGUCUGGUCCUCGGCUAUAACGUUUCACUCACAACAUUUAAAACUGCCAUCUAUUCAGGUCUGACCCUGGGUCUGACCCUGGGCUAUGAUAGCCUGGGUACCUUGUACUCUGUGUCAUAUGCCAAACAUGUUUAGCAAAAAAAGAGUGGCAAGAUGGGGAAUGACAGCUAAACAGACUGGUACCCGUACCAGACUAGGGCUAUGACGUUUCACACACAACAGUUAAUAGACUGCCAUGUUUUGUUCUCUCACGACAUCUAUUCUGAACAGAAAGACUGGUCAUCUGUUUUGUCAUGUGUAUGUUAUGGACGGUGUUGCCAGUUCCUGUGUGCCAGUCAGGGAUCCUGUGUGCCAGUCAGGGAUCUGUCUAUGGCUGUGGGCCCCAGUCUAAUGUUGGCGUCAGCAUUUCAUUACCUUGUACUUCAUUUGAAAAAGUGUAUUGUACCAUGCUGAAUAUAUGCACUAUCAAUAAAGGUUGAUUUUGUAGAAUGUUGAA
RNA transcript from Oncorhynchus keta (chum salmon), 4534 nucleotides. It is a transcript of the gene named angiogenin-like, with no coding region annotated. NCBI's taxonomy places the organism in Eukaryota, Metazoa, Chordata, Actinopteri, Salmoniformes, Salmonidae. The record is from RefSeq and is a predicted model, not a curated record. The transcript is spliced from 3 exons.